AGCCCCGUAGUGUAGCGGUCAAUCAUGUAGGACUCUGGAUCCUAUGACGGCAGUUCGAAUCUGCCCGGGGCUA
This 73-nucleotide transfer RNA is filed under the name Methanobacteriota archaeon. Its description in RNAcentral is "Euryarchaeota archaeon (anaerobic digester metagenome) tRNA-Gln". It matches the Rfam family "tRNA". From Rfam's summary of the family: Transfer RNA (tRNA) molecules are approximately 80 nucleotides in length. Their secondary structure includes four short double-helical elements and three loops (D, anti-codon, and T loops). Lineage: Archaea; Methanobacteriati; Methanobacteriota. The record is from RNAcentral.